CUUUGAUUAUGGCUCAGGAUGAACGCUGGCGGCGUGCCUAACACAUGCAAGCCGAACGGACUUACAUUGAAGCCUAGCGAUAUGUAAGUUAGUGGCGGACGGGUGAGUAACGCGUGGGUAACCUGCCUUGUACUGGGGGACAACAGUUGGAAACGACUGCUAAUACCGCAUAAGCGCACAGCUUCGCAUGAAGCAGUGUGAAAAACUCCGGUGGUACAAGAUGGACCCGCGUCUGAUUAGCUGGUUGGUGAGGUAACGGCCCACCAAGGCGACGAUCAGUAGCCGGCCUGAGAGGGUGAACGGCCACAUUGGGACUGAGACACGGCCCAAACUCCUACGGGAGGCAGCAGUGGGGAAUAUUGCACAAUGGGGGAAACCCUGAUGCAGCAACGCCGCGUGAGUGAAGAAGUAUUUCGGUAUGUAAAGCUCUAUCAGCAGGAAAGAAAAUGACGGUACCUGACUAAGAAGCCCCGGCUAACUACGUGCCAGCAGCCGCGGUAAUACGUAGGGGGCAAGCGUUAUCCGGAUUUACUGGGUGUAAAGGGAGCGUAGACGGUUUUGCAAGUCUGAAGUGAAAGCCCGGGGCUUAACCCCGGGACUGCUUUGGAAACUGUAGAACUAGAGUGCAGGAGAGGUAAGUGGAAUUCCUAGUGUAGCGGUGAAAUGCGUAGAUAUUAGGAGGAACACCAGUGGCGAAGGCGGCUUACUGGACUGUAACUGACGUUGAGGCUCGAAAGCGUGGGGAGCAAACAGGAUUAGAUACCCUGGUAGUCCACGCCGUAAACGAUGAUUACUAGGUGUUGGUGGGUAUGACCCAUCGGUGCCGCAGCAAACGCAAUAAGUAAUCCACCUGGGGAGUACGUUCGCAA
RNAcentral lists this ribosomal RNA (869 nucleotides) under uncultured Bacillota bacterium. RNAcentral describes it as "bacterial SSU rRNA". It matches the Rfam family "Bacterial small subunit ribosomal RNA", at positions 11 to 891 of the family's 1533-position model. Lineage: Bacteria; Bacillati; Bacillota. The record is from RNAcentral.